GCCGGAGUAGCUCAGUGGUAGAGCAACGCUUUUGUAAAGCGUGGGUCGGGGGUUCGAAUCCUCUCUCCGGCU
This 72-nucleotide transfer RNA is filed under the name Candidatus Staskawiczbacteria bacterium. RNAcentral's name for it is "tRNA-Thr". It matches the Rfam family "tRNA". Rfam says of the family: Transfer RNA (tRNA) molecules are approximately 80 nucleotides in length. Lineage: Bacteria; Candidatus Staskawicziibacteriota. The record is from RNAcentral.